RNAcentral lists this ribosomal RNA (468 nucleotides) under uncultured bacterium. RNAcentral's name for it is "partial 16S ribosomal RNA". It matches the Rfam family "Bacterial small subunit ribosomal RNA", at positions 28 to 507 of the family's 1533-position model. The record is from RNAcentral.
GACGAACGCUGGCGGCGUGCUUAACACAUGCCAGUCGAACGGAAAGGCCCUGCUUUUGUGGGGUGCUCGAGUGGCGAACGGGUGAGUAACACGUGAGUAACCUGCCCUUGACUUUGGGAUAACUUCAGGAAACUGGGGCUAAUACCGGAUAGGAGCUCCUGCUGCAUGGUGGGGGUCGGAAAGUUUCGGCGGUUGGGGAUGGACUCGCGGCUUAUCAGCUUGUUGGUGGGGUAGUGGCUUACCAAGGCUUUGACGGGUAGCCGGCCUGAGAGGGUGACCGGCCACAUUGGGACUGAGAUACGGCCCAGACUCCUACGGGAGGCAGCAGUGGGGAAUAUUGCACAAUGGGCGGAAGCCUGAUGCAGCAACGCCGCGUGCGGGAUGACGGCCUUCGGGUUGUAAACCGCUUUCGCCUGUGACGAAGCGUGAGUGACGGUAAUGGGUAAAGAGGCACCGGCUAACUACGUG